AGAAUUUGGAGAGAUGUGCGUCGAUAAAAAAAGUCAUGAAUUGGAAAGGGGUUUACCCACAGAAUCGCUCUCACUCGCUCAACGCGCUCUUUCUGCGAGUGGUCACCGGAAGUUGGAAGUUCGUUUGUGAUAGGAUCUAAACAAGUAUCAAAGUCUACAAAUUCUGGAUUAAGCAAGUUAAAGACUUGUGAUUCCCCUGUAUCUUCAACAACCUCGUCUUCCAAAACUUUAUCCAAAGACAUCUGUGGAU
Arabidopsis thaliana (thale cress) is the source of this 250-nucleotide long non-coding RNA. RefSeq annotates it as other RNA. The transcript is spliced from 2 exons. NCBI's taxonomy places the organism in Eukaryota, Viridiplantae, Streptophyta, Magnoliopsida, Brassicales, Brassicaceae. The record is from RefSeq.